UCUUAGCAACCGGAUUUGGUCCUAGUCCUUCUCUUGGUCCUCUCUAAAACGAUACAUGCAAGCCAAUCGCGACACAGUGAGUAACAACCAGAGGUUAUUCUUAAAAGAAGUACCCUCCAAAAGUUAGGUAUCAGAAAAUUACUUUAAUUCUAUAACACCUAGCCAACCACAUCUGCAGUACCUAACAUUAUACAAUAAGCAAAAGCUUGAUAUAGUUAUAGACUUAAGAGUUGGUAAAUUAUGUGCCAGCCACCGCGGUUAUACAUAAAACUCAAACCAAGAAAAUUAUCGGUCUAAAGGUGACUAGAGAUAAACUUAUUUAGGGUAGAAAAAAACUCCAGUAUUAACAAGCUUCUACAGUAAACUAAUCACAACUACAACAUCACCCUUAACUUCAUAUAACUCAAAACACCAAAGCUCAAAAAUAAACUGGGAUUAGAUACCCCAUUAUAUGAGCCGUAAAAAAUCAACAACACCAGAGAA
Molecule: ribosomal RNA, 483 nt
Filed under: Astropecten cingulatus
Lineage: Eukaryota; Metazoa; Echinodermata; Asteroidea; Paxillosida; Astropectinidae
Description: partial 12S ribosomal RNA
Source: RNAcentral